This 1033-nucleotide ribosomal RNA is filed under the name uncultured Alphaproteobacteria bacterium. Its description in RNAcentral is "bacterial SSU rRNA". It matches the Rfam family "Bacterial small subunit ribosomal RNA", at positions 73 to 1249 of the family's 1533-position model. Lineage: Bacteria; Pseudomonadati; Pseudomonadota; Alphaproteobacteria. The record is from RNAcentral.
ACGACCAUGCCCCCGAGUCGGAAUAACUUAUGAAGGGUGAGUACAGUGGGUAUCUGCCUUUGGCCCGGAAUAACACGAGGAAACUUGUGCUAAUACCGGAUAAUCUUUACGGAGAAAGCUUUAUGCCCAUUGGAUGAGCCCGCACUUGAUUAGUUAGUUGGUAGGGUAAUGGCCUACCAAGACUGUGAUCAAUAGCUGAUUUGAGAGGUGAUCACCACUGGGCUGAACACGCCCAAACUCUACGGGAGGCAGCGGGGAAUCUUGCACAAGGAGAAACUCUGAUGCAGCGAUGCCGCGUGAGUGAAAAGGCCCUUGGUUGUAAAGUCUUUCGUCGGGAAAAAAUGAUGUACCCGAAUAAGAAGGUCCGGUAACUUCGUGCCACAGCCGCGGUAAUACAAGGGACCUACGUAUUCGGAAUUACUGGGCUUAAAGAGUUCGUAGGUGGUUGAAAAAGUUGGUGGGAAAUCCCAAGCUUAACUCUGGAACUGCCAUCAAAACUUUUCAGCUAGAGUAUGAUAGAGAAGCAGAAUUUCUAGUGUAAGGUGAAAUUCGUAGAUAUUAGAAAGAAUACCAUUGCGAAGGCUUCUGGAUCAUUACUGACACUGAGGAACGAAAGCUGUAGCGAAAGGAUUAGAUACCCUCGUAUCCAUGCCGUAAACGAUGUGUGUUAGACGUUGGAAAUUUAUUUUCAGUGUCGCAGCGAAAGCAUAMACACACCCCUGGGAGUACACCGCAGGUUAAACUCAAAUGAAUUGACGGGGCCCGCACAGUAUGAGAUGUGGUUUAAUUCGAAGAACGGCAGAACCUUACAACUUGACAUGUUCGUCGCGACUCUAAGAGAUUAGAGUUUUCGUUCGGCCGGACGAAACACAGGUGCUCAUGGCUGUCGCACUCGUUCUGAGAUGUGGUAAUCCCCAACGAGCGCACCUCACUUUAUGCUCAUUAGUGCUCUAGAACUGUGAUAGCUGAGUGGAUGACGUCAGUCUCAUUCGUUGGCUAGGCUAUCUACAACUGAGCUAGCAUCAAAAUCCUU